GCGGUCGUAGCUCAGCUGGAUAGAGCACGAGAUUCCUAAUCUCGGGGUCAUGGGUUCAAAUCCCUUCGAUCGCACCA
Molecule: transfer RNA, 77 nt
Filed under: Holosporaceae bacterium
Lineage: Bacteria; Pseudomonadati; Pseudomonadota; Alphaproteobacteria; Holosporales; Holosporaceae
Description: tRNA-Arg
Rfam family: tRNA
About the family: Transfer RNA (tRNA) molecules are approximately 80 nucleotides in length.
Source: RNAcentral